Phoenix dactylifera (date palm) is the source of this 2613-nucleotide non-coding RNA. The record is from RefSeq and is a predicted model, not a curated record. NCBI's taxonomy places the organism in Eukaryota, Viridiplantae, Streptophyta, Magnoliopsida, Arecales, Arecaceae.
AUAGCAAAGGCCUUCUUCAUUUAAUCUAUGUGCAUGUUUUAAGGCCAUUCAUUUCACAGUACCUAUGAAGUACUCCUCUAUUGAUUAAACAAUUAUGAAUGCUCAGAUUUUUGCAGAAUUUGAUCCAAUUCCACUGGCAAGUGCUUCUCUUGCGCAAGUUCAUGCUGCUAAAACUCAUGAUGGCGAAAAGGUUGCCGUAAAGGUUGUCUUCUGAGCUAUGCAAGGGCUUAAUUAUGUUAAUGUCCGGCUUCAACACACUCACUUGACGGAUACUGCCAUCGCAGAUAUUGCUACUGUGGGUUUGGUAGUGAAUUUCUUGCACUGGUUCUUUCUGCUUUUGAUUAUAGGUGGUUGGUUGAUGAAAUUCGGGAAAGUGCACCUAAGGCAAGUUUACUUUGAUUUCUACUUGAUCUUUCUAUACUAGUUUUUAGUGUUGGCAUAUAUUUGCAUGCUUGCAAUGAAGCAUGAUUGUAACUCUUUAUGUACUGAUGGGAUGCAUGCAUGAUUUUCUUCAUCAUUUUUGGGCCCCUUAAUGUCUUAAUGUCGGACAGUCUCUCUGUGUGUAUAUUCACAUACAAAUAGAUGUUUAUAUCUGCAUUCAGGUGACCUUUGUCCUAAUGAUUAUUUUUUUUAAUUGUUGUGAUGAUGCUUACUUUCUUCUCCCUUGUGCUUUGAGCUUUGUUUUGUGUACUGACUGCAGCUAUCAUUUUAACGGGGACAUAGUUCACAAUGUUUGUAUUUGGCUGACAUCUAAUGUGUCCUUUGACAACACAUCCUUUUUAUAAGAAUAUAAAUUACUUUUCAUUUUACUCUAGAAAGGUGGGCAUGGUACUUUGGUAAUUGUGGUUGUUAUUAUAGCAGUGUGCUUCUUUCUGUUUGCACUGAAGUUGAAAUUGUGAUGCAAGACUAAUUAUGGUUGGCCUACAAAGGCAUAGGUGGACCAAAGGAAUUAGGCAACGGUUUAGGUCAAGAAAUCUCCCUGUUGUUCUAUUACAGAGAAGGAUGUUUUUUUGAAGAUUGUAAAAUUCAGGCCUGCCAAAAAAUUAUUCUAAUCUCAAUUCCCUUUAUCUGAUCUUUAUCCUGAUCUGUUUUCCAUCACUCUAGAUGAAUAUGCUACUGUGUCUCCUCCUGUUCAAUGGUCUGAUGGUGUUUCUCAUUUGCAUCUUUUCUUUUGAAGGACAAUUGGUGAUUACUUAAUUUUGGAAUGCUCUCUGAUUUGUUAUCUUCUCUUUCACAAUUCAACCCUUCUUCAUCUGGAUAAAGCUCAUUAGAGAUGGUCUUCCGAUGGAUCUUUCACUGUCAAUUCUUACUACAGAUUUCUAAACUUUGAUAAUCUGGUCAAGAAGGAAUUCUCUCCGAUUUAGACAUCUGUUAUUUCUCUUAAGGUUAAAAAUUUCAAUUGGCUGGCUGUUAAUGAUAAAUUAUUGAUUGAUGAGAAUCUCUUGAAAAGGCACCAGCAAUUUUCCUCUAAUUGUGAUCUCUGCAAUGCCGAAGGAAAAUGGAGUUCACUAGUUCUUUAGGUGCCACCAUAACAGAGGAUUGUUGAAAUUUAUUAAAAACAGGUUAUCUAUAAAAGGUUUGUCUGGUCCUUUAGUGGGGUGAAAACAGAUGUUAUCCAUAUCUGUGUCUGUUUAAUAUUUGUAUCUACAUUUAUAUUCGCUGAAAAAAAUAUGGAUACAAAUAUGGAUAUAUUAAUAUCUGAUCCAGAUAUAGAUACAAAUUGAAUGUUAGUUAUAUUCGUAUUUUUUAUCCGAAUAUGGCUAUAAAUCAUAUUUUUUGGAUAUAAAUUGGAUCUUGAGUGGCAUUCAAUAAUGAAAACUAACAUAAGUGACCGCACAUGAUAAGAAUAAACAUUCAUUAUCUAUCUAGAUCGCACAUGAUGCAUGGGUAUAGUUUCUAAACCCUCAUGGAGACCGACCUGGUCAAGGGUUCGAGUCACUAGUUUAACUGGAUUUGCAUUAAAAUAAAAUAUUAAUUUUCUACAUAUAUAACUUUGAUAAAUUUAAUAAUGAUAUUAGUAACGUAAAAAUGUUAAUAGAUUUUAUAAAUUUUCUACAUCAACCAUUACUCUUUAAUUGCAACAAAUAUAAAAGAUAAUCAUGAAUUAUCUAUUUCUUGAGAGAUUGUAAAUAAAAUAUAUGUAUAAAUAAUAAAAUGAUAUAUAUUCAUUCUUUCAUUUUUAUCAAGGGGAAAGGAUUGAUAGUUAUAAAAAAUAAAUAAUUAUUAAAUACAAAGUGUUGUUCAAAUCUGGCCUGAGGGUGACCACGCCGGAGGAGUCGAGGAAGCUGCCGGUCUGUGGAAGAAGAGGAUAAGAGCCACCUCCCACUCGGCGGUGUACCUGCAUAAAGAUUUGCAGGAUUUUAAAUGAAUAAUGAGUAAGAAACCAUGAUAUAUGGGCAUAAGUACUUUCCAACAACCAUUAGCUCAUAAAUAUCACGUCCAAACAUGAUGUUUAUUAUUCAGUAACGCUAUAUUUUACCACAGAAGUCUAGAGGUUUAUGUAGAGAAUAUGUCAUUUAUAUGCCACCUCCAUAACAAGCAAAAUGAUGCACAAUAUUUGUAGGCACGCCAUCAUUGUUAUCAGAAUUGAUAUAUGAAAUUGCCUUCUUUUGU